UAGGGAAUCUUCCACAAUGGGCGCAAGUCUGAUGGAGCAACGCCGCGUGAGUGAAGAAGGUUUUCGGACCGUAAAGCUCUGUUGUUGGUGAAGAAGGAUAGAGGUAGUAACUGGCCUUUAUUUGACGGUAAUCAACCAGAAAGUCACGGCUAACUACGUGCCAGCAGCCGCGGUAAUACGUAGGUGGCAAGCGUUGUCCGGAUUUAUUGGGCGUAAAGCGAGCGCAGGCGGAAGAAUAAGUCUGAUGUGAAAGCCCUCGGCUUAACCGAGGAAUUGCAUCGGAAACUGU
RNAcentral lists this ribosomal RNA (289 nucleotides) under uncultured bacterium. RNAcentral describes it as "partial 16S ribosomal RNA". It matches the Rfam family "Bacterial small subunit ribosomal RNA", at positions 355 to 636 of the family's 1533-position model. The record is from RNAcentral.